GAUGAACGCUGGCGGCGUGCCUAAUACAUGCAAGUCGAGCGAACAGACGAGGAGCUUGCUCCUCUGACGUUAGCGGCGGACGGGUGAGUAACACGUGGAUAACCUACCUAUAAGACUGGGAUAACUUCGGGAAACCGGAGCUAAUACCGGAUAACAUGUUGAACCGCAUGGUUCAACAGUGAAAGACGGUUUUGCUGUCACUUAUAGAUGGAUCCGCGUCGCAUUAGCUAGUUGGUAAGGUAACGGCUUACCAAGGCAACGAUGCGUAGCCGACCUGAGAGGGGGAUCGCCCACCCUGGAACGUAGCCACGGUCCAGACUCCUAAGGGAGGCAGCAGUAGGGAAUCUGACGCAAUGGGCGAAAGCCUGACGGAGCAACGCCGCGUGAGUGAAGAAGGUCUUCGGAUCGUAAAACUCUGUUAUUAGGGAAGAACAAAUGUGUAAGUAAAUAUGCACGUCUUGACGGUACCUAAUCAGAAAGCCACGGCUAACUACGUG
Molecule: ribosomal RNA, 497 nt
Filed under: uncultured bacterium
Lineage: Bacteria
Description: partial 16S ribosomal RNA
Rfam family: Bacterial small subunit ribosomal RNA
Source: RNAcentral